UUUUAAGCAUAAUGCAUUACUCAAAUUGUAGUGACAAUUUAGACAAAGAAAAGGUAUUUACAAAGUGUCAUGUGUACACGUAUGAAUCAAUAUGUAGUCAUCCGCAAGUAUCUACAACAUAGUAGUUUACAAAAUCAUCCAUGAAAUGGUAUUUUACAACCUAGAUUGAUAAAAAUAUAUCACUCAACAAUUUAGAAAACAGUGCAAUCCAGUUCGAACAAACAAAACACUUAAACUAUUGAAGUUCUUGUCGUCGGCCCUCCUGAUGGAAACCUUGAUGGAAACUAUCACGUCAUCCAAAUUGUGAUGGAAACCUUGAUGGAAACUAUCACGUCAUCCAAAUUGUGAUGGCAGCACCAAGUAGCCGAGUACACAAUCAUACCUAGCAUAUUUACAAAACAAUUAGAUAUUUGUAGGUAUGAAUAGAUAGUAGAAACAAGAGAACUGCAACAAAUGUAAACAUGAAAAUCUAUUAUAUAAUUAUAAAACGAUACAAAACAAAUGGCAUAGAUGUAACAAUAAAAGAGCUAAAAAGAAUGGAUGUGAUCAAACAAAGUUUAUCAAACGAAGCCUAUGACUGAGAAGUGCAAAACAAAACACAUGGAAGGAAACUUGCCAUCUCUUCACAAAAAAGAAGACACUUCCCAUCAUCACGUGUGUUGUACAGACAUACAAUAAGUUCUCGAAUAUAACUAUGCUAUUAGAAAAUCAAUCAACGUGAUGCUAAAAAAUCUUCUUACCUACAAGGAAAUAUAUUACAAAGCCUAGCCCCCUUGUACAUAGCACACGUACAUGAACGAGCAGAAUUUGCCCAACAUUCAAACAGCCAUCCAACAAAAAUGGGUGUACUUCAUGGUCAUAGUAAUACCUUGCUUUCAACGAAAAAUUUAAUUUCCCUAUUUGUAUGACAACAAUACAAAUCAGUAAAAAUAAAAGAAUGUCUAUCAACCUAUUUUAGAUGUCGGGACAAAUUAUUAGUAAAAACUAAAACACGCCAUACAUAUACACUGAAGUUUUCUCUAGAGCAUAAUUUACAAUGGAUUUUCAAAAUAAUUACAUUGCUUCCAUAGAUGAAUAAUUAUACACAGAAAUAUUCUCUAGAUGAAUGGCUUAUGUAGAUGAAUCAAUGGGCAAUGGAAAAUGUAUCCCUUAAGUGUAAUGGUUGGUGGUGUCCAGAUUAUUAUUAUUUUCUUCCUAGAAAACUAUUAGCAAAAGCACAAAUACGAAUACACUCGCUAAUGUCCACACCCUCUAAUAUUUUCUGAAGAUUGAUUUUACUUAGCUGAAUUUUGAGUACAAAUUUCCAAUGGUUUACUCUGUAGAAUGUUUUCACAGUUAUAGCUAACUUGGUCUAAGAAUAUGAAAUUGUCUACACUAGCUGACUUAGUUAUUUCUCCUCUGCUUUAGCUUUUAAAUAUGAUAUUUUAAAAGCAAUCUCUGAAUUUACUAUAUCUGACUAGCUGUACUGCAUCACAAUAUUACCUUCAGUGAAAUAUUACCUUCAACAUUGCCUUGAGUACACGUGCACCACACAAGGCCGGUCCUAAGAUUUGGGGGCCCGGGGCGAAACUAAAACUUAGAGGCCCUUGACAGAAAUAUGAGAAUAUUAGGCUAUGAAGAAAGUACACACUAUGUGUGAUGCAAAGUCAUGUUUAAUGCUUGAAUUACACGUGUAGGAGUAUAUUAUUUCAGGUGUCAAAAGGGACAGAAGACUCCAAAAAUGGUCCAAAAAUAAUUUGCAUCCAAAAUACAUGGUUGCAUUCACAUUUUGAGUCCUUCCAAUGACUAUUGUAAGACUGUUACAGCAAACAUGAGUAUAUGAGGAUUUAGAUAGAUGAGAAAAUCAAUACGAGUGAUGUGGAAAUAUUUUGUCAUAUCUUCUAAACUUACCUUUGUAUCUUUAAAAAUCAAAUUAUAUAGUGCCGAGAUAGUGAAAAGUUACUCCCGCGAAGUUGUAGGGAUGAUUAAAUUAAUAAUUUGUUACCCAAUUGUGCUAUCAUUGCUGAGUUCAUCUAUAAACUCACCACUAUGAGCAGCAUCCAAACCUCGUUCUUGCUUGAGAUCUAUAACACCACAUGAAAAUCAAUAUUAAAAGGCAGAAUCAAAACGAUUAAUUGUACAAACAGUGGAAAAUGUCGACCGACUGACAAUACUCGCCUUUAUAUAAAGGACACAAAGCAUCAGCGCAAAAAUACGGAGCAGGCGCCGCUGAUCUACUGCACGCACCACUUGAGAAGUUGAGAUCUGGAACUCCUCCUUCAUGGUUCAUCUGGCACGAUCUGAGCUAGAGAAGAAAAGGUCGCAUCCGCAGCAUGCCUGAUGCGAUGCAUGCGUGUAUUC
RNAcentral lists this long non-coding RNA (2340 nucleotides) under Hordeum vulgare. RNAcentral describes it as "long non-coding RNA (HVUL_LNC005261)". Lineage: Eukaryota; Viridiplantae; Streptophyta; Magnoliopsida; Poales; Poaceae. The record is from RNAcentral.